RNAcentral lists this ribosomal RNA (1470 nucleotides) under uncultured Bordetella sp. RNAcentral describes it as "partial 16S-23S ribosomal RNA intergenic spacer". It matches the Rfam family "Bacterial small subunit ribosomal RNA". Lineage: Bacteria; Pseudomonadati; Pseudomonadota; Betaproteobacteria; Burkholderiales; Alcaligenaceae. The record is from RNAcentral.
CGGUCAUAAACAUCGUUGAACGCUGGCAGGAUGCUUUACAUGCAAGUCGGGCGGCAGCACGGACUUCAGUCUGGUGGCGAGUGGCGAACGGGUGAGUAAUGUAUCGGAACGUGCCUAGUAGCGGGGAUAACUACGCGAAAGCGUAACCUUCACAUACGCCUUCGGGGAAAGCGGGGGACCUUCGGGCCUCGCACUAAUGCCGAGCAGCCGAUAUCGGUUCGCUAGUUGGUGGGGCAACGGCUCACCAAGGCGACGUCCGUAGCUGGUUUGAGAGGACGACCAGCCACUGGGACUGAGACACGGCCCAGACUCCUGCGGGAGGCAACGGUGAAAUUUUGGACAAUGGGGGAAACCCUGAUCCAGCGCUCCCGCGUGUGCAGUGAGCCUUCGGGUUGUAAAGCACUUUUGGCAGGAAAGAAACGGCCCGGGAUAUUACCCCGUGCAACUGACGGUACCUGCAGAAUAAGCACCGGCUAACCGUGCCAGCAGCCGCGGUAAUACACGUAGGGUGCAAGCGUUAAUCGGAAUUACUGGGCGUAAAGCGUGCGCAGACGGUUCGGAAGAAAGAUGUAGAAAUCAGAGCUUACUUUAGGCACAUUUUUUAACUACCGAGCUAGAGUGUGUCAGAGGAGGUGGGAAUUCACGACAACAGCAGUGAAAUGCGUAGAUAUGCGGAGGAACACCGAUAGCGAAGGCAGCCUCCUGGGAUAACACUGACGCUCAUGCGAAAGCAUGCAGUGGGGAGCAAACAGGAUUAGAUACCCUGUUGGUCCACGCCUAAACGAUGUCAGCUAGCUGUUGGCCCUUCUGAGCAUGGUAGCGCAGCCUAACGCGAAGCAGUUGACCGCCUGGGGAGUACGGUCGCAAGAUUGGAAAACUCAAAGGAAUUGACGGGGACCCGCACAAGCGGUGGAUAGUGGAUUAAUUCGAUGCAACGCGAAAAACCUUACCUACCUUGACAUGUCUGGAAUCCCGAAGAGAUUUGGGAGUGCUCAUAGAAACCGGAACACAGGUGCACACAUGGCUGUCGUCAGCUCGUGUCGUGAGAUGUUGGGUUAAGUCCCGCAACAGGCACAGCCCUUGUCAUUAAGUUGCUACGAAGGCACUCUAUUAGACUACCGGUGACAAACCGGAGGAAGGUGGGGAUGACGUCAAGUCCUCAUGGCCCAUAUGGAGCCAAGGGCUUCACAUCAUACAAUGGUCAGGACAGGGUCGCCAACCCGCGAAGGGAGCCGAACUCGAAACCCGAUCAUGAUUACGGAUCGCAGUCUGCAACUCGACUGCGUGAAGUCGGAAUCGCUAGUAAUCGCGGAUCAGCAUGUCGCGGUGAAUACGUUCCGGGUCGCCCCUGUACACACACCGCCCGUCACACCAUGGGAGUGGGUUUUGCAAGAAGUAGUUAACCUAACCGUAAGGAGGCGAUUACCACAGUAGAGGAUUCAUGACUGGGGUGAAGUGGCAACAAGGUAG